This 30-nucleotide non-coding RNA is filed under the name Rattus norvegicus (Norway rat). Lineage: Eukaryota; Metazoa; Chordata; Mammalia; Rodentia; Muridae. The record is from RNAcentral.
UGAAGAUCCCAAACAUCCCUACUUACGUGC